CCCGGUGACCUAAUGCCCAAAGGGCCACACCCGUUCCAUCCCGAAUACGGAAGUUAAGCCUUUGGGGCCGAUGAUACUGAAUAGGGAAAGUAGGUCGUUGCCGGGC
This 106-nucleotide ribosomal RNA is filed under the name Planctomycetota bacterium. Lineage: Bacteria; Pseudomonadati; Planctomycetota. The record is from RNAcentral.